Small nuclear RNA from Antechinus flavipes (yellow-footed antechinus), 107 nucleotides. Lineage: Eukaryota; Metazoa; Chordata; Mammalia; Dasyuromorphia; Dasyuridae. The record is from RefSeq and is a predicted model, not a curated record.
GUGCUUGCUUCAGCAGCACAUAGACUAAAAUUGGAAUGGUACAGAGAAGAUUAUCAAGGCUCCUGUACAAGGAUGACAUGCAAAUUCACGAAGCAUUCUAUAUUUUA